UCAGACCAGCGAGCAGCAACAAAGACUGGGAGGACACGGACUUCCUGCCAAAACAGGCUUCAUUAAACCCAACAGCCAGUUACUGGAAGCAAAGCUCCAUCAGAGGCAGGAGACGUCGGGCUGAAACAUCACAGACAUUUCAUCUGAAGGUACUGGGCUGCUGUACGAAGAGAAAAGGUCAGACUGAUGGAAAGCAACGUUCAGGAGUCCAUGGAGGAAAGAAGACAGGAAGUCACAAAUGGCAAAGGAAACAAAGACGUAGAUCAAAACUCCCUGAAGACGAACAAUGAGGCUGAUGAGGACAACGAUGAGAAGAAAAGCAGCGACCGUUCCAAAUAUAAAACGGUGUCCUACAAGAAGAUUCGCAAAGGAAAUACGAGACAGAGAAUUGAUGAGUUUGAGGCCAUGUUUAACUUGUGAUCACAGCAUAAAUAAAAAUGAAUCUUAAAAAGUAGAGGACUGAGGACAGAACCCUGUGGAGCUCCGCCAAUCUUCUUUAGUAUUUUUCAGUAACUUGACUUUCAACUCGUUUUAGUUUUGUCUGUCUAGCACCAAAUUCAAACAAAACAUUACCUUGAAGAAAUUUUAACACAAUCAGACAAAAAAAGAAUCAAAUUAAUUAAACUUUUAUUUCAGUUUCA
Long non-coding RNA from Cyprinodon tularosa, 641 nucleotides. RefSeq lists it as uncharacterized. Lineage: Eukaryota; Metazoa; Chordata; Actinopteri; Cyprinodontiformes; Cyprinodontidae. The transcript is spliced from 2 exons. The record is from RefSeq and is a predicted model, not a curated record.